UCCGAGUUGACCCCGGCAGUCUCCUAUGAGUCCCCGCCAUUACGCGCUGGCAACAUAGAACGAGGGUUGCGCUCGUUGCGGGACUUAACCCAACAUCUCACGACACGAGCUGACGACAGCCAUGCAGCACCUGUGUUCAGGUUCCCUUUCGGGCACCCUCGGAUCUCUCCAAGGUUCCUGACAUGUCAAGGGUAGGUAAGGUUUUUCGCGUUGCAUCGAAUUAAUCCACAUCAUCCACCGCUUGUGCGGGUCCCCGUCAAUUCCUUUGAGUUUUAAUCUUGCGACCGUACUCCCCAGGCGGUCUACUUCACGCGUUAGCUGCGUUACCAAGUCAAUUAAGACCCGACAACUAGUAGACAUCGUUUAGGGCGUGGACUAC
This 379-nucleotide unclassified non-coding RNA is filed under the name uncultured Gammaproteobacteria bacterium. RNAcentral's name for it is "contains 16S-23S intergenic spacer region". Lineage: Bacteria; Pseudomonadati; Pseudomonadota; Gammaproteobacteria. The record is from RNAcentral.